Molecule: long non-coding RNA, 246 nt
Organism: Etheostoma cragini (Arkansas darter)
Lineage: Eukaryota; Metazoa; Chordata; Actinopteri; Perciformes; Percidae
Exons: 2
Source: RefSeq, a predicted model, not a curated record
AUGUUAAAAAAAUGGAUCUUACUCUUUAAUAAGUCAACCUCCUUAGAAAAUCCUUUCCGUAAUGUUGUAAGACACUUAAAAUGUCUGAGCCUGUCAGUUAAAUAACAAGCACUUUUGUGAAGGUAAAUACAAGCCGGACAAUUGCCCUAUUACCUUACAUUGUUGCUUGUUUCCGCUGACUGCAGAGAUCUCUUUUAAUACAGGACCAAUGUUAAAGACUGUUGUUCCCAUCAGUCACUUAGACAC